RNAcentral lists this ribosomal RNA (516 nucleotides) under Trachycardium belcheri. RNAcentral describes it as "partial 16S ribosomal RNA". It matches the Rfam family "Bacterial large subunit ribosomal RNA", at positions 1796 to 2622 of the family's 2925-position model. The record is from RNAcentral. Lineage: Eukaryota; Metazoa; Mollusca; Bivalvia; Cardiida; Cardiidae.
UCGCCUGUUUAUCAAAAACAUCUCCCCCAGAAGUAGUUUUAGCAUUGGGGGUAGGCCCUGCCCGGUGAUUUAUUUUCAACGGCGGUGUUAAGCCUUAAAGUAGCGUGGUCAUUCGUCCUUUAAUUGAGGUCUGGUAUGAAUGGGUUGACGUGGAGAAGCUGUCUCGGGAGAAAUGACAAAAAUUUUCUUUUUUGUGAAAAGGCUGAAAUGAAUUUAAAAGACGAGAAGACCCCGUCGAGCUUGAUUACUUUAAUUAAUUUUGGUUUAAGUGAAGGUUUGUUGGGGCAAUAAGGGAGAAAGAAAACCUCCUUUUAUUUAUUCGUGGAUCCUCUAUUAUAGGGAAAAUAGGAAAAAGCUACCGCGGGGAUAACAGCGCAAGACUGCCUGAUAGGCCUUAUUGAAGGCUGAAUUUGCGACCUCGAUGUUGGAUUAGGGUGUACAAUUAGGCGUAGAAGCUUGAUGAAGUGGGACUGUUCGUCCCUUAAAUCCCUACAUGAUCUGAGUUCAAACCGGAGA